Molecule: long non-coding RNA, 949 nt
Organism: Culex quinquefasciatus (southern house mosquito)
Lineage: Eukaryota; Metazoa; Arthropoda; Insecta; Diptera; Culicidae
Exons: 2
Source: RefSeq, a predicted model, not a curated record
GCGUUAAAGCGAGUUAAAGCGGUCAGCGUCUGCUCGACAUUUGAACAAAGCGAAAUCGAUCUUGCAUCCCUGCUGUCAUAGCUCGAGCAGUUUUUCGAUCAAGUUUGGCAACUCGGUAUUUGUUUUGAUAAGUUUUCAAGCAGUUUCCGCAGAAAGAAAACAAAAACAAAGCAGGUCGCGUUUUUUUUUUGGUCAAAGGUCGGAAAACUUUACUCCGGUGGGAUGACCGGCGCCGGCGUUUUGCUACAACGAGGCAAGCAGCAACUGGACCCGAAAGUGACCGGCAAGCUGCAACUGGGGGGAGAAAAAGUUCAAGUAUCUUAGCAACGUCCGGGGUGUCAUUCCGGUGUCGGCGCUCAAUCAAUGGAAGGCACCACAACUGGGCAUUUUGGUGCGACUCCCCGGAAAGUGUAUUUUCUAACCAAGUUCAACAAUGAGCUGCGAGAGGAGAAACGAGAGUUUAAGGCGGCGGCUGUAGGGAGGAGUGUCCACCGAAACCGAUGGCACAGUGGACGGUGCCGUUCGGUGUUUUUUUCCGGGCGUUUAAGCAAACUAGCUCCCAACAAAUGACGCCGACGAGCGGCUUAGCGUGUGGCUUGUCUGGACCACAACAUCGGCGAGUUCUGUUGUAACCUGUAUGGGAAACCGGUGCCGUUAGGGUGGACAGAUUAAGGCCUGUGCCGUUGGAGUGGACAGGUCCAUUCAGAAGAGGAAAAUGCGCCACAGUUUGAUACAUUCUACGAGAAGAAGAGUAAUAAAGUUCUAGGUGGAGUUUCGGAGGACUUUUUAUUCCAACGUUUAUUAGCUAUGCAGGCCUAAAUACUGUGGUCAAAAGCCGCCGUUUCUGUCCGCCGCUUGGGGGCAAAGGGAACGACUACUAAAAUAGUUUUGAAUACUUUAUUGAAUGUAAAGCCAUUUCGAAAUAAUAAAAAAUGGUAACGAAAACCAA